RNAcentral lists this unclassified non-coding RNA (283 nucleotides) under Sordariales sp. RNAcentral's name for it is "partial contains 5.8S ribosomal RNA, internal transcribed spacer 2, and large subunit ribosomal RNA". The stretch from base 1 to 71 matches the Rfam family "5.8S ribosomal RNA", at positions 84 to 154 of the family's 154-position model. The record is from RNAcentral. Lineage: Eukaryota; Fungi; Ascomycota; Sordariomycetes; Sordariales.
GUGAAUCAUCGAAUCUUUGAACGCACAUUGCGCCCGUCAGUAUUCUGGCGGGCAUGCCUGUUCGAGCGUCAUUUCAACCAUCAAGCCCCAGGCUUGUGUUGGGGCACUGCGGCUGCCGCAGGCCCCUAAAAGCAGUGGCGGACUCGCUGUCAUACCGAGCGCAGUAGCACAUCUCGCUCAGGGCGUGGCGGCGGGCACCGGCCGUAAAACAACUAAAACUCAAGGUUGACCUCGGAUCAGGUAGGAAUACCCGCUGAACUUAAGCAUAUCAAUAAGCGGAGGA